UUUUUAUACAAUACACCAUGAACCUAUUUCUAUGUCAUUAAAUAUUCUCCUAUAUUAUAUUUAGAGAAUGUUUAGUUUUUGUGAUAUGGUGUUUCCAACAUUACAUCCAAUCUCUAUGUGGUUGGAAGUUCAGAUGUUUCAGGUACUUUGCAGUUAACAAUUACAGUAAUAAUUAUCAUCAUCCAACAUUGCAAACAUAAUUUAUUGAGGUGAAAUUCACAUUUUGAAACUGUCAACUCUGUCUAGGUCCAAGAUUCUGUAACUCCCAUAGUAAAAAUGCCUACCCAUUCAGGGGCAUUUCUCUUUCUGGCCCCAGCCUAUCUCUCUAUUAUUAUUUCCGCUCCCCUCGGAAUUAUACUCUAAGGUCUUAUCAGGACCUAUACUGGCCCAGCAAAUUCCUGUCCUAUCACCAUUGUCAGUUGUUUCACUACUCCAUUUCUGUCCAUCCAUUAUUCAUGGCCAAGUCAAUUUCUACCUACUUUGUGAAAACUUCUCUUACUGGCUAAGCCUGAAUGGUCUCUCUCUUGAAAACUCUUAGCACACAUGACUGUGCUGUUCACUUGGCCCAUUUUUCAUCUUAUCUUGUAAUGCCAGUUCAGUAGCAUGUGUUGCCCAGAAAUUAUAUUGCUAACAGCUUCUGUUUUUCUUGCAUGGCAUCUUAUCUAUUUUAUUUCCCCUGAUGAUUAUCUUAGUAAAUAGCAUAAUAGAAAUGCACCAUAAAUUUUUGUCAAAAACAAAAUUCAAUUUUUGUCCUCAUAGACUGUAGCAUAGUGCUUGGCACACAGGAAAGUCCCCAACAAAUAUGUGCUGUUUGAGUUUUAAACAUAUUUAUACUUUCAUCUAAUUCUCUUGCAGUCUCAAAUUCUUCAUAACUAACAACUUUAAAAAGGACUUGUAUUAUUUUUUGUAUGACCUUAUUUAUGAUAUUCCUGUUCAUGUGUGGAUACUGAGAUUUACUGAACAAGGUGAUGUUUAGCAUAGGCAAAUGCUUCUCUUCUUCUUCUUCUUCUUCUUUUUUUUUUUUUUUGACAGAGUUUUGCUCUUGUUGCCCAGGCUGGAGAGCAAUGGUGUGAUCUCGGCUCACUGCAACCUCCCUGUCCCGGGUUCUAGUGAUUCCCAUGCCUCAGCUUCCCAAACAGCUAGGAUUACAGGCACAUGCUAUCAUGCCCAGCUAAUUUUUGUGUUUUUAGUAGAGACGGGGUUUCACCAGGUUGGCCAGGCUAGACUCAAACUCCUGACCUCAGGUGAUCCACCCGCAUCGGCCUCCCAAAUUGUUGGGAUUACAGACUUUAGCCACUGCUCCCGACCUUUUCUUUUUUAAAGUAAGUGUUUGACCUAAUUUGUUUUCAGCCUUCAUCUUUGAUGAAUUUGAAUGCUUGAUGUUUGUUUGCACACACCAAAUUCCAAAGGUAGGAUUCUAGAAUUUAAUAUUAUGUUUUGCUUUGCUUUUCAUAAUGGUACUAGUGGCUAAUAACUUCAGAGAACAUUCCUCAGUGACCUUUGAGUUCUUUUUUUGCUAUUAUUUCUGAUAGCUAUGAGCAUAUUUUACUAGAAAUAUAAAUUGUAUGAUUUAUCCCUAAGUGUAUUUGCCCUGCACUUGUGUCCAUAUCGAUUGGCCUCAGUAAGUAGAAUGCAUGUUUCCAUAGGAACUAGAAUAAUAACUUGAUGUUACUGUGCCUAGAGUUUCAUUGUUCCAUGAGAACAUUUGCAAAGCAAAAGAAUAUGAAUUUAUAUGCUAAGUAAUCUAUCAAUUUUUGCUUUUUAAAAAUGUCUUUUCGAAAAACUGUACUUUACUCCAAGAAAACCAAUUUCUCUUCAUUAUUUUUGAGGAAGAAUUGUUAGUAGGAAUUAUUGGAUUUUUCACCUCUCAUUCCUCUAUUAUAUGUCUAUGAAAACUUAAUGAAAAAGAUGCAGUGAAGGCAAGAUUCGGUGUUAAAUCUCUCCAAGUGUAUGUACCUACAUAUUUUGUACAGACUUCUUUACAGCAUAAGGCUACUAUUUAUUUUUAUUGUUCUUGAAAUCAGUGAAUAUGUUGGGUUUAAUUUUAUUGACACUACUUUUAAAAACAAUUCAGACUGAUUUCCAAAGACACAUCUUUUUCAUCAGAGAGGACUAAACUAUGCAAAGUGGAAUCUUUUGAAGAAUGCUUAUUACCAGAGUAGUAACAAGGAAUUUUGCUCAAGCAUUUCCUAUAGUGAUUGCAAACUGGCUCACUUCCCAGCUCUUAACAAUUUCAGCAUGGGUUUUUCUUGAUUGACCAUCAGUCUUCAGUGUCUCUGAACAUACACAUUACACACACACAUACACACUGACAACAUACACAUAAACAUACUUGGCCAGAGAUAAGAUAAACAAACAAAAGACUUAUUGAACUCGAGGAAUAGCUUACACAGAGCAAUUUAAUCUUUUUGCAAAAAUAAGAUCCCAAUUCUGUUAUGCUGUUUUGGAAUAUGUAAAGCCUAUAAAUGCUGACUUUUAAUUUUCAGAAAGCAAAGUCAACUUCCUAGUCGUUCAGAUAUUCAGGGUCUAUUGACUAAUUUCACCCGAUUCUAAAACUAAUCUGUGGCUGCCUCUUCCAGGUUUCUGAGUUGUUGGCUUAUUUAUUAAUUAACUCCAUCAUCUACUUUUGGAUAUCAUCUACUUCCUGGCCUCACCCAUAGUACAUUGGCAGUUCUAAAUAUAUACUUAUUUGCUUUAUUAUUUUCUCUCUUCCCAAUUACAGAAUGAUGUCAGGAGGGAAUUUAUAGAUAGUGCUAAAAUUAUGAUAUUGAAGCCUCUAUCCAAUUGAGGAGCAGGUAUAGUGAGAAUGAGGGGUUGAAAGAGGCAGAAAGAUAAACGAUUGCAGCUAGAUUACAUUGGAAGAUUUUGAGUGUCCAGAAGUUCUUAGAACAAUUUUUAGGGUGAGACUAUGGGUGUAAGAGGCCAAUGUCAAGUGGAGGUGAAGUGAGGGUUAUUAGAUUUGAGUAUGCACCAUGUGUGAAGCUUCAUUAGGCAGUGGGUAUAUAAGUCUCAGUUCAUGCCUUCAAGUGCCCCAGACUUGUCUAUAAAACAAAAUUCAAUGUUCAUAACUCACCACAGUAUUUUUCUCAUUCUAACUUGAUUCUCCAGUAAUGCUCUUUAGUAACCUCCUACCUCUGCCACAUUCUUCUCUGUAAAUCCUGCUUAGGUCUGCUCUAUGCCUUUCUUUUUCUCUGUCUAUAUCCCAUCCAUCCUGUAAGCCUCAACUCCUAGAAGUCAUUUGUAAUCACCUCUUUCUGCACUGCCCCCAUCCCCUGUUGUGUUACCUGUCUCCUCUAAACAUGCAGAGAGUUGUGCGUGUCUCCUUUUGCCUGUGCUUCCACUGUAUUUUAUUCUUUGUCUCACAGAUCUUAUUUUUCCAACUAGAUUUAAACACCUUGAGUACAUAAUAGUUUCUCAUAUGUCUUUGUAAUAUGUCUCAAUGAAAUAUGUUAAGGAAGACAUGGGGAAAACAUUUGAUCAUGGAAAAUUAGAUGAGAAUUUUUCUCAUGUAUAGCUGCUAAAUAAAAACCAAACACAUAGUUUGAAAUGGUGUAUGAUGCUGAUGUAGCCAAUUGAGAAAUUAACCAUUUGACUGCUUUGUAUAUAAAAUGAUGGUGGUGCCUGUUAUUUCAGUAUGAAGCCAAUGGAGAGAGAUACAUUAGAUGUCUAAAUGGUCUAGUUAAGGUAUUCAAGGUUAAACCUUUUUUUUUUUUUUAAAUCUGAAAUAUCAGCAAUAUAGCUUCUAAAUUUUUAUGGCUGGUUUUCUAUAUCACUUUUAUCUCGUGAAAUUUCAGAGCGAUUAAUCUAUAGUAAACAUCAUCAUCUGACAUGGCUGAAAACAGUACUUUUUGUUCAUUUUAAUUUUUGAAUAAUGUAAAAUUACUGAUGUUAAAAAAAUUAUAUUCAAAGAAUACUGAGUGCAAGGUGACCUUUCUAGGUUAAAAAAUGUCUUAUAAGCCUGAAUUGUCAAUUAUUACUGUAUUCUAGAUGUAUGGAAGUUAAUGGAUAGUUCUAGUCAGUUAGAUACAGGUUUAGCAGGACUGUUGUAAUAGGUAAUCUGGAGAGUAGCCAGGUAAGUGGAAUUUGGGGUUUGCUGCUGUUGCCAGAAAGCAGCACAGAGAGAUGGUAAGUGACAAGACCCAGAUAACUAAAACAACCAUGCCUUAGUCCUUAUAUGCUGCUAUAACAGAAUACCACAGACUGAGUAAAUUAUUGUGAACAGAAGUUUAUUUGACUUCUGGUUCUGGAGACUGGCAAAUCUAAGAGCAUAGCAUUGACAUAUGGUGAGGAUAUUUGUGCCUCAUCAUCCUGUGACAAAAGGUGGAAGUUCAAGAGAGCUCAAAAGCAAGACAGCAAGAUGGGAAUCAAACUUGCUUUUUGUAACAACCCAUUCUUGUGAUAAUGAACGAACCCAAAUGAUAAAUACCUAAAUCCAUUCAUGAGGGCAGAGCCCUCAAGGAUGAAUCACUUCACUUCUUAAUGGCCUCACUUUUUAAUAUAUCACAAUAGUAAUAAAAUUUUAACAUGAGUUUUGUAGGGACAUUGGAAGCACAGCAAACUGUAGCCAUUUUGAUUUCCUUAUUUGCACCAUUUAAAAAAAAGCAAUUGAUUCAGCUGAUGUUUAUCCAGGGCCUAUUAUGUUGUGUUGGAGGCUAGUGGUAAUUACAAAGGGAGUAAGACAAACACAGUCACCCACUCUGGUGAUGCUUACAUUAUCUUCAUAAUGUAUUUGAUCCUGUGAUUCUUUGGCACAUGAGUCCCUUGCAUUUUGCCUAUUAGUGUCUAGUAAGUUUUUCCUGACUGAUUGAUAAUAUAGAUAUACUUUGGUAGAAGUUUUGUGUAUAUUUUCAUAGUUAGAUAUAGUUUGCAGGUGUGACUUGUGUUUCAGGAAAAUACAGAAAAUGUUUAAAGACAGGAAGAUAUUACCCUGAUUUUUCAGUUCAUUAAAGAAUAACUAUUUGAGGGAAAAUCCUGAUACAAUUAUUUGAGCAUGUGUAUUAAAGAUUAGACCUAUAAACAAUUCAGGAGCAACUUCCAGCAAACUAUGUGAGAAUUCACAGAAAUAAACCUGGUAGGUUUGUGCUAUGUUAUUCACAUGGGCUGUUAACUGUGUUCCAUUCCUAGGUUCUUUAUUUCCCUGCCCUCCUCAAUCGCAGCCUCUUGGGAUUUAAACUAUAUUACUUCUAUCUUCAAAAUGAUUCAUUUUUGGGUACCAAACUAUCCCUCAGCUUACCUACACCCUCUCACUCAAACUCACAUUCUCUCUUUUGGCUUUCUGUAUGGAAGGGAACAUUUAGAAUAUCAAUUCUUUGCAAUGCAAAAACGACAACACACUGAUGAUGAAGGGAGGUAUUUUUAGGAGAAAAAGUAGCUUUUCUUUUCAUUAUGAUGUCACUUUUGAGAUUUUAUAGAAAGAACAGGUAUUAAACUCAGACCAUAGGGUUCUCUGAGGUAUACUCUGGACACCCUUAGAAGUCAGCUAGAAUAUGCCUUCUGUUUAAGGUCAGAGUCUACAUUUAAAAAGAAAGAACUGGAUUAAUUGGCAGGUAAAUUGAGAUUCCAUAAUUCAGGAAACCUUUAAGACUUUUAAAUGCAGGCUCUCCUGUUUGUAGGCUGGAGUGAAGCUUAACGUAUAUAAGUUCUUUGAUUCCUUCUGUACAGUUCUAAGGUUGUCUUCUGUGUUGUAUUGGUUGGAAUAUUAAUACAUUACCCGUGGAAUUCACAUAUGGUCAUUGCCCAGUAGUGACAAAAAUGCCUCAAUUAACGUGACUAAAUUCUGUUAUUUAAAUCAUAAAAAUAAGUAUUUUCUUUAUUAUCUUCAGAAAAAAUUCUAUGCUUUAACUGACACCUUACGUCUGAAUUUUAAAAAAGCAAGUAUUUUUACUGCACAGUGAUAGCAUACUGUUUAACUUCAGGUUUACCAUAAAAAUAAUUUUAGCUGUUCUUUACCACCACAUUGUUUCCUAGAAGUAGCUAAAACUGCUAUUAUUCUUUUGUGUUUUUGAGAUCGUAUUACUACCACAGAUUCUUUGAAAAAGUCUGUAUGUUCUAAUGAUUUUUGUUGGGGAAAAAGUAUGUAUUUCACGACAAAGUUCUCCAGAUAUAAUGGACAUUAACCGAACAUGAAAAAGAAUAAGAUUGUGGAAUGCUCCAAGGAAACUUGAAAACCAAGGGGGAGAGAAGGUUGUCACAUUUUCCUUGCGUGCUUUGCUUAAUUUUCACUAUAUCUUAAUUUAUUUUUCUCUGUUUCUCUUCAGUUACAAUAAGUCACUUUAUGAUCAAAAGAGAUACACAUCUCCUCAGGGCUUGUCUAAGAUUCAGCAUUUAGUCCUGAAAGCCAAAUUGCAUCCUGAAGCCUAAAAUCCAUGUUCGUUUGUUUUAAACAAAGUAAAGUGAGAGAUUUGGAGAGAAAGGAAAAACUGUAUUUGACAGUAGAACAACAAUAGAACUGAAGAAUAAGAUCACUCAUUUUGAGCUCCAAUGGAGUGGUAUAUUUUCUUCAUAUUGGUGAAAUAUUCAGUUAAAAUCACUUCAUUUUUAAUUCCACUGUCUUCAGAACACUUUUAUAUAUGAUACCUUGUUUUUGCUUUAAUCUAUGAGUAAGAAUUUAUACCUACCUUGUUAAUUAAAAGACAAAAAGAAUAAUAUUGAAAAGAUACUAAAGGGACCUACUUAAAUGUCUAUAGUGUGAAAUAAAUAAGCUGUUUAAUUUUUGACUCUUAAACUGAGUCUCUUUUGCCAAUUUUACUUAAUAUAUAUGUAUUUCCUACUUGUGAGGUCAUUGAAAGGAAACCUUGAACUAUGAUACAGCCAUUCAGUAAUAAAUUCUCUGCAAAGAGUGGCAAAAGAAUUCAGACUAUUAAAAUGUUGCUGUGUUUAUCAAAGUCAAAGCUACUUUUGCUUUAUGAAGCUGCCCAAAGAAAAUGCUUGGGGAAUCUUUCCAGGAUAUCGGUCUGGGCAAAGAUUUAUUGAGUAAUACCCCAUAAGCAGAGGCAACCAUAGCAAAAACAGACAAAUGGGAACACAUCAAGUUAAAAAUCUUCUGCAAAGCAAAGAAAGCAAUAAAGUAAAAAGACAACCCACAGAAUAGGAGAAAAUAUUUGCAGAUGACCCAUGUGACGAAGGAUUAAUAACCAGAAUAUAUAAGGAGCUUAAAUAACUCUAUGGGGAAAAAUCUAAUAAUCUGAUUAAAAAAUGGAGAAAGAUUUAAAUAGAUAAUUCUCAAAAGAAGACAUACAAAUGACAAACAGACAUACAAAAUGGUGCUCAACAUCAUUGAUCAUCAGAGAAAUGCAAAUAAAACUACAGCGAGGUAUCAUCUCACCCAGUUAAAAUGCCUCGUAUCCAAAAGUAAAUGCUGGUGAGGAUGUGGAGAAAUGGCAACUCUCAUAUGCCGUUGGUGGGAAUGUAAAUGAUUACAGUAACUAUGAAGAACAGUUUGGAUGUUCCUCAAAAAACUAAAAAUAGAUCUACCAUAUAAUACAGCAUUCCCACUGCUGAGGGUAUAGCAGUACCCCCCAAAAAGUAAAUCAGUAUAUUGAAGAGAUCUGGACUCCCAUGUUUUUUGCAGCACUGUUCACAAUAGCCAAGAUUUGGAAGAAACCUAAGUGUUCGUCAACAGAUGAAUGUAUAAAGAAAAUGUGGUACUUGCUAGGCAGCCACAGAAACAAAAGAGAUUUAGUCAUCUGCAAGAACAUGGGUGGAACUGGUGGUCUUUAAGUUAAGUGAAAUAAACCAGGCACAUAAAGCUAAACACCACAUGUCCUCAGUUAUUUGUGGAAUCUAAAAAUCAAAACAAUUGAACCCAUGGAGAUAGAGAGUAGGAGGUAGAGGGGAGGUGGAGAUGGUUAAUGGGUACAAAAUUAUAGUUAGAAUGACUGAAUAUUUGGGCCGGGAUUGGUGGCUUACACUGGGUAAUCCCAGCACUUUGAGGGGGCGAGGGAGGCAAAUCAUGAGGUCAGCAGUUUGAGGCCAGCCUGGCCAAUAUGGUGAAAUCUUUCUCUACUAAAAGUACAAAAAAAUUAGCCUGGUGUGGUGGCAGGCACCUGUAGAAUCACUUGAACCUGGAAGGCGGAGGUUGCAGUGAGCCAAAAUCUCACCACUGUACUUCCAGCCUGGGUGUCAGAGCAAGACUCCAUCUCAAAAAAUAAAAAAGCUUGAGGGGUUGGACACUCCAUUUUCCAUGAUGUGAUUAUUACACAGUACAAGCUUGUUUAAGAAUAUAUCAUGUACUGCAUAAGUAUAUACAUCUACUACAUAUGCACAAAAAUAAAAUUAAAAAAUAUAAAUACAAUUUAAAAACAAUUGAUGAGGUAAGGUCAGGUUAUAUAUGAUAUAAAAUCUUCUAGUGAUGGUGUCUCACGGUAUAGUUUGUACAAGUCAGGGCACCUGGUAUUUGAGAUUACCAAGCUAAAACCAUUUCAGUUUGUGGGAAGUGGCACCAAUCAAACUGAAAGCCCUCUUUUCUCUUUUUAAUUUUUUUUUCCUCAGAGCUAUCAUUUGAUAAAAGUUAUACUCAGUUUAAGAGGUGCUAGUCAUAGUUUGUUGGACUGACUUUUGCCAUUUGUAGUUCAUUCUGGCAGAGAAAUGAGUUUAAUUUGGCUUGUGUAGUAUAUUUUGAAAUAAUUUUUAAUACAAAUAUUAAAAAGUAAGUGAUAGAAGGGGAGGCCUGUUUCAUCUAGGUUUGGGAAAAUUAGACUAGUCUUCUCUUGGUAAAUGUGGAAAUUUUAACCUAAUUACAGAAUUAACACUUAAUUGGGAAGAUAAAGAUCUGGGAAAAACUGGAAAGUUGGUUUAGUGGAACAUCAAUUGCUCCUGGAGUCAAAUCACCUAAAUUUGAGUCCCACUUAUUGGCCAGUGCCCUUAGGAAUGUCAUUUAAAUUAUUUAAGUACCAGUUUCCUUAUCUAUGAAGGGAAAGGAAAAACACCUACUUAAAAGGGCAGAAGGCAAUAUUUUAAAGGCAUUUCCUAAAUUGUACAUGUAUAAAUAUAUAUAAGGUAUGUUUAUUAAGUGAAAAGGCAUUUGCAACACAUGCAAAUCCUAAAGUUAUAUCAGUAAUUUAAAUUUAAUUUUUGAGCUUAUAGCUGUAAAAGAAGUAUCUUCCUGUAUCAGCUCUAGGCAGCAACUUUCCAGGUGAUAUUUGAGCUGAAUGAGCUCAAGUUUGAACAUGAUACCUCAGGAUAGUGCUUCUUGGGUUGAUUGCGGCAAGUCUGAGUAGGUGGUUCUCAGGCAAGAACUCUUUCUUAUCUUGCAGCUUUUACCAUUAGGAGAUAGAUCAUCUGUCUUGCCCAAUGUUAACAAGAGUAUCUUCAUGUCCCUUUCUGAGCUAAACGCUGACUAUGUGAUUUAGUUUGGAUUUCAUUCUUUUAGAAAAGUGUAGCCAUUUGCUUGCUACAAUAGAACUUUUUUUCCUCCACAGCCUUUGGUGCAACAUAGUGGGUCAUGUCUAAAAAACCAAGGUGCUUGUUGUUUAAUCAUUUUUAAUUUUUUCAGGAAUAGCACUCACAGCAGGAAGAAGUGUACAUGUUUUGGAGAUUGUAGAUGUGGUACAUUUAUUCACAUGUAUUCUGAGUAGUCAAGUGUUAGUUUUUCUUUUUUUUUUUUGAGAUGGGGUUUCGCUCUUGUUACCCAGACUGGAGUGCAAUGGCGCGAUCUCGGCUCACCGCAACUUCCGCCUCCUGGGUUCAGGCAAUCCUUCUGCCUCAGCCUCCUGAGUAGCUGGGAUUACAGGCACGUGCCACCGUGCCCAGCUAAUUUUUGUAUUUUCAGUAGAGACGGGGUUUCACCUUGUUGACCAGGAUGGUCUCGAUCUCUUGACCUCGUGAUCCACCCGCCUCGGCCUCCCAAAGUGCUGGGAUUACAGGCGUGAGCCACCGCGCCCGGCCCAAGUGUUAGUUUUUCAAAACUACUGCUUAGCCUUGCUAGCUUUUGCCCUUACAUCUCGAGGAAUGAAGAGUUAAUUUGACUAGUACUGAAUUGUAUAAGAAAGCAUUCUAAAAAUCCACAAGUACCCCUUAAUAUAUUUGGUUCAAUUUAAAAUCUGUUUACUCAUUCAGAUAUAUGUGAGUAAUUUUAAUUAUGCAUUGUUUUUUAAGAAAUAUCUUAGACUGAUCAUUUUACAAUUAAUUAUUUUAAAAACUGUAUUUUUCCAGAGCAUUGUCUCCAACUCAGGAAUUACAAGUCUUUUUGCAGGAUUUGAGGGUUUACUACCAAGUCAUAUAACUUUAUAAUAAUUAGUAAUUAGUUAAUAAAUUUUCUUUUUUGUGUUUGAAUUCUUAUAAUGAGAUUAGAGUUAUAAAGUGAAGCUUAUUUUAUUUUACUUAUUUAUAUGAGGAAGCUCGAUGACUGAAUAUAAAGAAAUUAUUAUUGUCAGACUUUUAAAUGUGAUUUACAAGCAGCUGGGCUUUGACCAUUGAUGGCCUAAUUGAUUUUGAGAAUUAUCAGACAUUUAAUAUAUGAAUCUUUGCAAGUGGGGAAAUGCUUUAUUAUUUUAUAACAGUAUGACCUACCUUUUGCCAUUGGUUUAAUAGUAAUGACCAUUUUGUAAUUAAAAUGAUAAUAAUCAACAGGGGGAAAGGUAUUGUGUUCAUUAUUCAAACAGAAGAGAUUUGUAAUAUUGGAAGCAGAUGGUGCCAGGGGGAGUGACUUACAGACACUUAAAGCUGCAAUAAAUUAUAGUGCCCCCUCCCAGCAUUUUUUUCUCUAUAGCAGGGUUUUUUCCUAUAGAAAAAGAAAUGAGAAUAUCUUACAAUUUUAUGUGAUUUGGCUUUAGAAGUCUUCUCAAAGAUAAAAGAUAAUGAGUUUAAAAUACUUAAAAAAGAGCAGGGAAAGCCAUUAUAUUUAUGUGGAAUUUUCUAUUUUUGGUACAGGUGGAACAUCUUUGAAGGUUUGCCAUUAAAAAAAAAAAAUCCCAGGGGAAAAGUAGGUACAGUAGCCAGUAUCAUGACAAGCGACCUCUACUGUUUCAAAGUGAUCAGUGGGACAUUAUAAAAGGAAAUGAUCACAAGCUCGGAAUGUAGUCAUGUUCUUGUGGUGUGAAACAAGAAAUGGGGAACUGACAAGGGAAGGAACUGGAGCAUUACUGUUAAAGCCUUAGUGUUUAACCUCGAAAGUCUUGUAGAGACAUUUCCUGUUCAGUUCAGCCAUUCACUCAUUUAACAAAUAUUUACUGAGCAUGUACAAUUUGCCAUACACUAUUAUAGGUGAGGACAACAGUAGUGUGAAACCAGUUUGUACUCUCAUGGAGUUCCUGUUCUAGAAGGGAAGAUAGACAAUGAAUUAUGAGGUCAGAUGGUGAUAGGUGCUUGGAAGAAAACCAAACUGAGGUCAGGGGUGAGUCUAAUCAGAAAGGCCUUCCCUUCAUUUAUUCAUUUGUUUAUGUAUCUGUUCAUUUAUUUGUUUAAUGAAAUAAUUCUUGACCUUAAACAAGACAGUUUAAUUUCAGCUUUCAUGAGUCAUGUAAGUGAGUUGUAUGAACUCAGAACUAAUUUUGUCAUGCAAAAAAAAAGUUAAACAAAUAAAGUUAAGUUUCCUGGCUGGCUCACAGAAUCUCCUAGAACCAAUGUUAAAAAUUUCACUGUGGUACUCCACUCUAUUCUUAGGAGAUCAGAACUGAGGCAAAUGAGGGAAAAUGUAGAGAGGAGGUUUUUGCUGUAUAGCUAGUAGUCAUCUUGUAGGCAGAUUUUGAAAUAAGCUAGUUUGUUUUCACAUUCUUCUAUCAGAUUUUAACCACCUUAGACUUUCCUUAUUUCCCCUCACUGCCCUUUUCAGUCCUCCUUCCUAUUCCCUCAGCCUGUUUCACUAUUAGGAAGUGCUUUGUGGCAUUCUAUUAUUUUCUUUGAAGGGAGCAGUUUGAUUAAACAACUUCUAAGUGUAUGAAUGAUGCAUAAUGUGAGCAUUAACCCUAACCUGAACAAAGGUAUUUGCAUUUUCUGAAGAGGACACUUGAAUCACUAAUUGCUGGGGUUUUGAGCUAUGCGGAAAAUCAAUCCUCAGAGAGUGUAGAGGACCUGCCGUGAGGUCCUGCAGGAGGUCAUUAGGUCUGUCAGGAAGGCCAACAAUUCCUUUUUGUCUCCUGCCCAGGUAUGCAGCUUUGCUUUUUACCUUUUUCUCUCCUUCUUAUGAAACAACUAUUUUUUUUUCCUAUGACUGCUUUCAUGCAUUUUUAUUUUCUGCCUUUUAUAAGCUGGGUGUAUGCAAAUGAGGGUAGUGUGGAUAGGGUCAUGCUCCUGAGGCCCGUAUUCUGGCCUGCCAGCAUGUGGAGCCAGUAACAGUGACAAUAACAAUGAUAAUAUAAUGACUGUUUUCUGACUACCUAAAUAUGCUAGAUAUUUCACAUACAUUCAUAAAAUCAUUUAGUCUUUAUUAUAGUUUUGAAGGGUGUACGAGAAGACCAUUUAUAGAUAAAGAAGGCAAGGAUGCUAAGAGGUUAAGGUGUCUGCCCCAGGUUGCACAGCUAGUAAAUGGGGUUGGGUUUGAUCACACUUGGGUUUGUUUGAUCCUGAAGUCUCUUUUUUUUCUCCCUGCUAUUAUCCCAGAAAUAAGUGACUGGCGAUUUCAGAGGAACUGUUCCCUUGUUAGACUUGAGCUAUGUUAACUCAGGAUCACCAAGUGACUCUUGAUGUUCUGUAUGCCGAGGCAAAUUGAUUAGGCUACAGAGAAGAAAGACUUGCAGCAGGAGUUCCAGUGGAGUGAUUUUUCUCAUGUUAGCUUACCAGUCUCAGAGAUGUGUUCAGGAGUCUGUUCCUAUUUCAGAUAUCCCAAACUUCUUUUCUCUCUUUUUUUAAUUAUAUUUAAGUUCUGAGGUAUGUGUGCAGAUCAUGCAGGAUUGUUACAUAGAUAUACACAUGCCAUGGUGGUUUGCUGCAUCCAUCCCCCUGUGAUCUACAUUAGGUAUUUCUCCUAAUGUUAUCCCUCUUCAAUCCCCCCACCCAGGCCCCAGUGUGUGAUGUUACCCUCCCUGUGUUCAUGUGUUCUCAUUGUUCGACACCCGCUUAUGAAUGAGAAUAUGUGGUGUUUGGUUUUCUGUUCUUGUGCCACUUUGCUGAGAAUGAUGUUUUUCAGCUUCAUCCAUGUCCCUGCAAAGGACAUGAACUCAUCCCUUUUUUAUGGCUGCACAGUAUUCCAUGGUGUACAUGUGCCACAUUUUCUUUAUCCAGUCUAUCAUUGAUGGGUAUUUGGGUUGGUUCCAAGUCUUUGCUAUUGUUAAACAGUGCUGCAAUGAACAUACAUAUGCAUGUGUCUUUAUAAUAGAAUGAUUUAUAAUCCUUUGGCAGAUACCCCAAAUUUCUACAGGCCUUCACGACCCAUAGUAUUGGACUCUUUCCUGGACUUGAUAGUAUCUAGGCUCCUUCUCUCUUUAGUAUUUAGAUAAAUACAUGAACAGUCAAUUAGUGCACUGAGCUGACAAUACAAUGUUGGUUCCCCUUGUGGUAUUAACAGAGUUUAUUGUUGCAGAUUUUACUGACAGGUAAAACUGUCACUAAAAUUUGUCUCUUUGUAUUUCCUUCUCCAUGGAGACACUUUCAUGGAUUGUUUACUUUUAUCCCCUAUAAAAGACACCUAGUGAGAAAUCUGUGGUUUUAGUGUCUUUUUUCUUCUGUUGGGGACCAUGACAAACCUUUGGUUGUGUUUGUACAACCAGUUAUUCAAGUAUUUCAACAAUUGGCUGUAUUAAUUUUUGUGAGGGCAUUGGGGAAUUGGCAGUGGUGCCCAGUAUUUGGAAUAUUGCUGUAUUUAGAAUAUAGAAUGAUAUGCUUAUCUCAAGUGAAAAACUCCUUGUAGACUUGGCAAUAGAGUUUGCUUUUGACUAUAUAGGCUGGUACCUACUUUUUGGUUUCUAGCAUUUUUCCAAUUGGCCUAUUCAACUUCCUUUAUACUCUCUGUGAUGUGAGGUAUCAGAUGCAAUAUUCUUUGUAUGGUACCAUUUUUCAUCCAGAUGCAUAUAUCCUAGUGAAACCAAACUGAAGGAAGCGACUGACUCUAUUAUGAUGGAUUUGUGUGCAUGUAUUAGUCUGUUUUUAUCCUGUUAAUAAAUACAUAACCCAAGACGGGUCAAUUUACAAGAAAGAGGCUUAAUGGACUUACAGUUCCACAUGGUUGUGGAAGCCUCACAAUAAUGGUGGAAAGCAAGAAGUAGCAAGUCAUGUCUUACAUAGAUGGCAGCAGGCAAACAGUGAGAACCUGUGCAGGGAAAGUCCCACUUUUAAAACCAUCAGCUCUCAUGAGAUCCCCUCACUAUCACGAGAACAGCAUGGGAAAGACCGGCCCUCAUGAUUCAACCAUCUCCCACCAAGUCCUUCUCACAAUAUGUGGGAAUUAUGGGAGCUACAAGAUGAGAGUUGGGUGAGGACUCUGAGCCAAGCCAUGUCAUUCCACUCCUGGCUCUUGCCAAAUCUCACGUCUUCAAAUUUCAAAACCAAUCAUGCCUUCCCAACAGUCCCCCAGAGUCUUUACUAAUUUCAGCAUUAACUUAUAAUCCACAGUCCAAAGUCUCAUCUGAGAUAAGGCAAGUCCCUUCCACCUAUGAUCCUGUAAAAUCAAAAGUUAGUUACUUCCUAGAUACAAUGAGGGCACAGGCAUUGGGGAAAUACAGCUGUUCCACAUGGGAGAAAUUGGCCAAAACAAAGGGGCUAAGGGCUUCAUGCAAGUCUGCAAUCCAGCUAGGCUAUCAAAUCUUAAAGCUCUAGAAUGAUCUUUUUUGACUCCAGGUCUCAGAUCCAGGUUAUGCUAAUAGAAGAUAUGGGUUCCCAUGAUCUUGUGCAGCUCUGCUUCUGUGGUUUUGCAGGGUACAGCUUCUCUCCUGGCUGUUUUCACAGGUUGACAUUGAGUGUCUGUGGCUUUUCCAGAUGCACAGUGCAAGCUGUCAGUGGAUUUACCUUUCUGUGGUCUGGAGUAUGGUGUGGCCUUCUUCUCAUAGCUCCACUCAGUGGUGUCCCAGUAGGGACUCUGUGGGGGCUCUAACCCCACAUUUCCCUUCCAUGCUGCCCUACCAGAGUUUCUGCAUGAGGGCCCUACCCCAAAGCAAACUUCUGCCUGGGCAUCCAGGAGUUUUCAUACAUACUCUGAAAUCUAGGUGGAGGUUCCCCAGCCGCAAUUCUUCUGUGCAUUCACAGGCUAAACACUGUGUGGAAGCUGCCAAGAGUUGGGGCUUCCAACCUCUGAAGCAAUGGUCUGAGCCCUGUGUUGGCCUUUCAGCCAUGGCUGGAGCUGCUGGGAUGCAGGGCACUAAGUCCCUCUGCUGUACACAGCAUGGAGACCCUUGGCCCCACCCAUGAAACCACUUUUUCCUCCUAAGCCUCUGAGCCUGUGAUGGGAGGGGCUGCUGUGAAGACCUCUAACAUGGUCUGGAGACUUUCCUCAUUGUCAUGGGGAUUAACAUUUGGCUACUCAUUAUUUGUGCAAAUUUAUGCAGCCAGUUUGAAUUUCUUUUCAGAAAAUGGGAUUUUUUUUUUUGCAUUGUGAAGAGGCAAAUUUUCUGAACUUUAUGCUUUUUUUUUUUUUUUAAAUAACUGAGUGUGUUUAACAGAGCUCAAAUCUCCUCUUGAAUGCUUUGCUGCUUAGAAAUUUCCUCUGCCAGAUACUUAUAUCAUCACCCUCAAGUUCAAAGUUCCACACAUCUCUAGGGCAGGGGUAAAAUGCCACCAUCCUCUUUACUAAAACAUAACAAGAGUCACUAUUGUUCCAGUUCCCAACAAGUUUCUCAUCUCCAUCUGAGACGACCUCAACCUUGAUAUUUCAUUAUUCAUAUUGCUAUCAGGCUUUUCAUCAAAGCCAUUCAACAAGUCUCUAGGAAGUUCUAAACUUUUCCACAUUUUCCUGACUCUGAGCCCUCCAAACUGUUCCAACCUCUGUCUGUUAUCCAGUUACAAUGUUGCCUGCACAUUUUUUGGUAUGUUUUCAGCAGCACCCGACUCCAAUUUUCUGUAUUAGUCUGUUAUCAUGCUACUGAUAAAAACAUACCUGAGACUGGGCAAUUUACAAAAGAUAAGACUUUAAUGGACUUACAGUUUUACAUGGCUGUGGAGAUCUCACAAUCAUUGUGGAAAGCAAAGAGGAGCAAGUUACACCUUACAUUGAUGGCAGAAGGAAGAGAGAGCUUGUGCAGGGAAACUCCUGUUUUAAAACCAUUAGAUUUUGUGAGACCCAUCUACCAUCAUGAGAGCAGCAUUGGAAAGACCUGCCCCCAUGAUUCAGCCAUCUCCCACCGGGUCCCUCCCUCAACACAUGGGAAUUAUGGGAGCUAUAAGAUGAGAGUUGGGUGGGGACAUAGAGCCAAGUCAUAUCAAUGCAGUUCAUGAUAUAUCCUCUAUUUUCCAGUUGAAUCCUUCUACAAGUGUAAUUUUGUACAAGAAAUUUUAUCACGGAUAAAUGACGUAUAAUACAGUGGAAAGUGCUUCAGUGUAGGAAUGUAGAUGGUUCAUGCAUGAUUUCAUCUCUGCCCUGUCUAGAAAUAUAAGCUUUGAUAAGUUUGUUUAUUUCACGGGCCUUGGUUUCCUAGUUUAUAAAUUAAAGCUAAAGUGAUCUUGUCUGCCACUGUGUAGAAUCAUAAACUUUGAUAAGUUUAUUUUCUGGGCUUUAGUUUCCCAGUUUAUAAAAUAAAGCUACAAUUAGGAUAGUCUUUAUUUAUUUAUUUAUUUUUUCUCUGGGAUACAUUUAUUUAUUUUUUUUUAAAUUUUUUAUUGGAUUUUAGGUUUUGGGGUACAUGAGCAGAGGAUGUAACACAGUUGCGUAGGAACACACAUGGCAGUGUGCUUUUCUUUCCUUCUCCCCUUCACCCACAUUUGGCAUUUCUCCCCAGGCUAUCCCUCCCCACCUCCCCCUCCCACUGGCCCUCCCCUUUUCCCCCCAAUAGACCCCAGUGUUUAGUACUCCCCUUUCUGUGUCCAUGUGUUCUCAUUUUUCAUCACCCACCUAUGAGUGAGAAUAUGCGGUGUUUGAUUUUCUGUUCUUGUGUCAGUUUGCUGAGGAUGACGUUCUCCAGAUUCAUCCAUGUCCCUACAAACGACACGAACUCAUCAUUUCUGAUUGCUGCAUAAUAUUCCAUGGUGUAUAUGUGCCACAUUUUUCCAAUCCAGUCUAUUAUCAAUGGGCAUUUGGGUUGAUUCCAGGUCUUUACUAUUGUAAACAGUGCUGCAAUGAACAUUCGUGUACAUGUGUCCUUAUAGUAGAACGAUUUAUAGUCUUUUGGAUAUAUACCCAGUAAUGGCAUUGCUGGG
Callithrix jacchus (white-tufted-ear marmoset) is the source of this 17217-nucleotide RNA transcript. RefSeq lists it as uncharacterized. NCBI's taxonomy places the organism in Eukaryota, Metazoa, Chordata, Mammalia, Primates, Cebidae. The record is from RefSeq and is a predicted model, not a curated record.